ACAUGCAAGUCGAACGAAGCAUACGGACCGGAGAUUCGUCGAAGGGCCGUAUGACUUAGUGCGGACGGUGAGUAAUGUAUGAGCAACCUGCCUUUCAGAGGGGGACAACAGUUGGAAACGACUGCUAAUACCGCGUAACGUAUCGUGAGGGCAUCCUCGUGAUACCAAAGGAGCAAUCCGCUGAAAGAUGGGCUCAUAUCUGAUUAGCUUGUUGGCGGGUAACGGCCCACCAAGCGACGAUCAGUAGCCGGACUGAGAGGUUGAACGGCCACAUUGGGACUGAGAUACGGCCCAGACUCCUACGGGAGGCAGCAGUGGGGAAUAUUGGGCAAUGGGCGAAAGCCCUGACCCAGCAACGCCGCGUGAAGGAAGAAGGUCUUCGGAUUGUAAACUUCUUUUAUGAGGGACGAAGGUACGUGACGGUACCUCACGAAUAAGCCACGGCUAACUACGUGCCAGCCGCCGC
Molecule: ribosomal RNA, 466 nt
Filed under: uncultured bacterium
Lineage: Bacteria
Description: bacterial SSU rRNA
Rfam family: Bacterial small subunit ribosomal RNA
Source: RNAcentral